RNAcentral lists this ribosomal RNA (491 nucleotides) under uncultured bacterium. RNAcentral's name for it is "partial 16S ribosomal RNA". It matches the Rfam family "Bacterial small subunit ribosomal RNA", at positions 29 to 506 of the family's 1533-position model. The record is from RNAcentral.
AGUGAACGCUGGCGGUAGGCCUAACACAUGCAAGUCGAACGGCCGCACAGUAAGAGCUUGCUCUUACGGGUGACGAGUGGCGGACGGGUGAGGAAUACAUCGGAAUCUACUUUUUCGUGGGGGAUAACGUAGGGAAACUUACGCUAAUACCGCAUACGACCUACGGGUGAAAGCACGGGAUCUUCGGACCUUGCGCGAUCGAAUGAGCCGAUGUCGGAUUAGCUAGUUGGCGGGGUAAAGGCCCACCACGGCGACGAUCCGUAGCUGGUCUGAGAGGAUGAUCAGCCACACUGGAACUGAGACACGGUCCAGACUCCUACGGGAGGCAGCAGUGGGGAAUAUUGGACAAUGGGCGCAAGCCUGAUCCAGCCAUACCGCGUGGGUGAAGAAGGCCUUCGGGUUGUAAAGCCCUUUUGUUGGGAAAGAAAAGCAGCAGGUUAAUACCCCGCUGUUCUGACGGUACCCAAAGAAUAAGCACCGGCUAACUGCGG